RNAcentral lists this ribosomal RNA (600 nucleotides) under Limimaricola cinnabarinus. Its description in RNAcentral is "bacterial SSU rRNA". It matches the Rfam family "Bacterial small subunit ribosomal RNA", at positions 96 to 731 of the family's 1533-position model. The record is from RNAcentral. Lineage: Bacteria; Pseudomonadati; Pseudomonadota; Alphaproteobacteria; Rhodobacterales; Paracoccaceae.
CGGCGGACGGGUUAGUAACGCGUGGGAAUGUACCCUUCACUUCGGAAUAGUCCCGGGAAACUGGGUUUAAUACCGUAUACGCCCUUUGGGGGAAAGAUUUAUCGGUGAAGGAUCAGCCCGCGUCUGAUUAGAUAGUUGGUGGGGUAAUGGCCUACCAAGUCUACGAUCAGUAGCUGGUUUGAGAGGAUGAUCAGCAACACUGGGACUGAGACACGGCCCAGACUCCUACGGGAGGCAGCAGUGGGGAAUCUUAGACAAUGGGCGCAAGCCUGAUCUAGCCAUGCCGCGUGAGUGAUGAAGGCCUUAGGGUCGUAAAGCUCUUUCGCUGGGGAAGAUAAUGACGGUACCCAGUAAAGAAACCCCGGCUAACUCCGUGCCAGCAGCCGCGGUAAUACGGAGGGGGUUAGCGUUGUUCGGAAUUACUGGGCGUAAAGCGCGCGUAGGCGGAUUGGAAAGUUGGGGGUGAAAUCCCGGGGCUCAACCCCGGAACUGCCUCCAAAACUAUCAGUCUAGAGGUCGAGAGAGGUGAGUGGAAUUCCGAGUGUAGAGGUGAAAUUCGUAGAUAUUCGGAGGAACACCAGUGGCGAAGGCGGCUCACUG